Molecule: long non-coding RNA, 2038 nt
Organism: Grammomys surdaster
Lineage: Eukaryota; Metazoa; Chordata; Mammalia; Rodentia; Muridae
Exons: 2
Source: RefSeq, a predicted model, not a curated record
CCCAGCGGCAGCAACUCCAGCAAGGGACUUUUCCCCAGGUCUGUUCUCUUCCCACAUACAGGGGAUGCCUUGGGUCCUUUUGAGUGGGUGUUCCCAUCACUCCCACAUCCAUCCAGACCAGCCUGUGGCCUUCUUCCCGUCACCCACCUUCUAAAGGUUCCUGUUGUUUACCCUGUCCCUGGACAUAAGCCCCAGAGAAGACAGUGGCGACAGGGUUUCAAGAAGCAGACUAUGAUACUCAAGCUGGAGAUCUUGCCCCUUCGUAGGUGUCUUCACCUGCAAGUGCCCUGGAGGACAUCUGAAGACCAUCGUGAGAACAGACAUCAUUUGCCAGCACCCCUGGACACAAGAACCUAGAAUUACCCUUUAACUUCUCACUCACCAGACAGGAUCCGACCUCGGAUGGAGACAUUGCCGGUGAAGGGGCAUUUCUUGUCUAUGUAGGUGCCCUCGAUGGCCUGUACGGAUAAGAAAGUGUGGUUUGGACUACCAUUUCCUAAACAGACCCAAGGAGGAAGCCUCAGGGACCCAAACUACAAUUCCCAGGGGCCCCAUGGGCAGCCACUCUGAAGAGGGCGGGGUGACUGUGCUUCCACAUGUGCAGGGCUGCAUGAACCUCAUCUGUUGGAGGGUCCUGUACCUCUUUGGGCGUCUUGAAUCCUAGACCGAUGUUUUUGUAGUACCGAGGGAGUUUUUCCUUGCCAGUUUCUCCCAGCAAAACACGCUUCUUGUUUUGAAAGAUUGUAGGCUGCUUUUGGUAAGCACGCUCUGUCUGUAGGGUGAGAUCACAGGUAAAGUUCGACAGACCAGAGAUAAUAUUUCUUCCUUUCUAACUUUUAUAAUAUUCACCCCGAAACGUCCAAACUGGCGGGCCGGCGCUCCACAAUCACCACAAACCUAGUUUAGCUUACUGCAUUCUGUCUACCAUCUCCACAGCUUGCAGAAUUCACAGCUGAGAUCAGAAGUAGCUUUUCAGCAGUACUGGUUCCCCCAAACACACAAAUUCACUCACUCAGGAUUCACAUCGUACGCACACGCAGCUGAGCCUGGUGGGCCAGAUCUGUCAUCCAGGUACUCGAAAGGUUGCGGCCGGAUGGCAAGUUUAAGACCUGACUAAGCUAGUUAAAGCCAGAUCUGCGCCAACAUUUAAAAUUACAGCACGGGGCUGUGGCUCUGCGGCAGAGCACUUGAUAGAGAGCACGAGGCCCGAGGCUCGAUUCCCAUCAAGGGAAAAGAUACUGCUUAAACUAGUCCCCAGGCUUGCCCUCAGGACUCCGGCCCCUCAGGACGCCUCUUCCCUCCGCAAACCAUCAUCCGUUAACGCCUAAGUUUUGAGAACUAACUCCCAAAGCGCUCGAGACCCCGUUACUGUGUAGCGUCCAGACCGCCAAGCCGCCUAUCAGAUGAAGGCACACGCAGGCACCUAGCUUCAGCUAAUUCGUAAGACAACGAGGACGCCAAGGAUAAGCUCCACACUGAAAAACCGAGAGAAAAUAGCUAAACGCUCGAACCUGAAUGUCCGCCAUCUUCCCGGCAGCUUGAGAAAAGGAAGGCUAGGCCCACUCCCGGCUUCCUUAUUCACCACGCGAGGUCUUGAGCGGAAGUGGCGUAGGGUCAGUCCCUUCCGGAAGUAGGAGGUACUUCCGGCGACAACACGCGCUUCUAGGACUAUUCGUACGCCGCCAUGAUGGUGUAGGACUAAGGGGCGGGAAGAGAAUCCUAUCAUCUCGCGAGAUUUCAGGGGUCCGCUGCCGAGUGUUCAUUUUGGCCGUAAAAGUGCAUCGUGUGGUAUCGCGAGAGUCGUAGGACGGAGUAAAGUGUCUUCUGCAGCUGGAUUCCCAGGGGUCUCGAGAGCCGCGUGGUGGUUCAUGUUUUCCAUGGAGAAACGAUGGUGCAGAGCGUGUCGCGGGAAAGUGGGUGAACUGCUUUACACCAACUAGCUUCCCAAUGAUGUCACGAGCAGCCAGAGUCGACUCAGCAAUUUCCUUUUAUUAAUAGCUUCUCCUUUGAUUAAAGGCUCACAGCCAUUUGCUGACUA